CGUCGAUACCAUCGAAAAGUUUAAUAACGCGAUCAUAAUUACCAGCACUUGGAGCAGAAGCAUCAACAGCAGAAAAAGCGCAGCGCAGCAAGAAGACGAUUCAGACC
This is a long non-coding RNA of Dalotia coriaria, 107 nucleotides long. RefSeq lists it as uncharacterized. The record is from RefSeq and is a predicted model, not a curated record. Lineage: Eukaryota; Metazoa; Arthropoda; Insecta; Coleoptera; Staphylinidae. The transcript has 3 exons.